GACGUAACGCCUGGGCGGCGUGCCUAACACAUGCAAGUCGAGCGAGUGAAGUUCCUUACGGGAACGGAUUAGCGGCGAACGGGUGAGUAACACGUGGGCAACCUGCCUUAUAGAGGGGAAUAGCCUUCCGAAAGGAAGAUUAAUACCACAUAAGAUUGUAGCUUCGCAUGAAGUAGCAAUUAAAGGAGCAAUCCGCUAUAAGAUGGGCCCGCGGCGCAUUAGCUAGUUGGUGAGGUAACGGCUCACCAAGGCGACGAUGCGUAGCCGACCUGAGAGGGUGAUCGGCCACAUUGGGACUGAGACACGGCCCAG
RNAcentral lists this ribosomal RNA (312 nucleotides) under uncultured bacterium. Its description in RNAcentral is "bacterial SSU rRNA". It matches the Rfam family "Bacterial small subunit ribosomal RNA", at positions 38 to 334 of the family's 1533-position model. The record is from RNAcentral.